Molecule: small nuclear RNA, 294 nt
Filed under: Nannospalax galili (Upper Galilee mountains blind mole rat)
Lineage: Eukaryota; Metazoa; Chordata; Mammalia; Rodentia; Spalacidae
Description: 7SK RNA (ENSNGAG00000002580.1)
Rfam family: 7SK RNA
About the family: 7SK was discovered as an abundant small nuclear RNA in the mid-70s but a possible function has only recently been suggested. Two independent studies have found that 7SK RNA binds the CDK9/cyclin T complex (known as elongation factor P-TEFb).
Source: Rfam by way of RNAcentral
UGAUGGUGAUCUGGCUGUGACAUCUGUCAUACCCAAUCACCAGGGUCGAUUACUUGAUCUCACUUUUUAGGCUAGUGUCCCCAUCCCUCCUUUCCUUUCCAUGUGUAUCCCUCCUGAAGCUGUGUCCUUGGUAGAAGAGGAACCUUCCCCAAUGGAAGGGAACUCUUCCUUUGUGGAGGAUAUAUGAUGCUCAACCUCGCCUGCCUUCUGAAACCUCUAAACAAAGUCAGUGCGGAAACAUUCACGGCAAUGGGAAGGUUUGGGACAGUGUCAUUGGUGUUUUUGACAUUUCAU